RNAcentral lists this ribosomal RNA (490 nucleotides) under uncultured bacterium. RNAcentral describes it as "partial 16S ribosomal RNA". It matches the Rfam family "Bacterial small subunit ribosomal RNA", at positions 28 to 507 of the family's 1533-position model. The record is from RNAcentral.
GAUGAACGCUAGCUACAGUCUUAACACAUGCAAGUCGAGGUGCAGCAUGGUCUUAGCUUGCUAAGGCCGAUGGCGACCGGCGCACGGGUGAGUAACACGUAUCCAACCUGCCGUCUACUCUUGGACAGCCUUCUGAAAGGAAGAUUAAUACAAGAUGGCAUCAUGAGUCCGCAUGUUCACAUGAUUAAAGGUAUUCCGGUAGACGAUGGGGAUGCGUUCCAUUAGAUAGUAGGCGGGGUAACGGCCCACCUAGUCUUCGAUGGAUAGGGGUUCUGAGAGGAAGGACCCCCACAUUGGAACUGAGACACGGUCCAAACUCCUACGGGAGGCAGCAGUGAGGAAUAUUGGUCAAUGGGCGCAGGCCUGAACCAGCCAAGUAGCGUGAAGGAUGACUGCCCUAUGGGUUGUAAACUUCUUUUAUAAAGGAAUAAAGUCGGGUAUGUAUACCCGUUUGCAUGUACUUUAUGAAUAAGGAUCGGCUAACUCCGUG